RNAcentral lists this unclassified non-coding RNA (220 nucleotides) under Hevea brasiliensis (rubber tree). The record is from RNAcentral. Lineage: Eukaryota; Viridiplantae; Streptophyta; Magnoliopsida; Malpighiales; Euphorbiaceae.
CGUUGGACAUUGUCGACUACUUUGGCUGCUUCUUCAACGAUAUCUGUGGCAGCACUUGCCACAUCUUUAACUAUAUUUGACGGGUUUGAGACAGCAUUUGCCACCUCUUGUUGGGCAUUCCCGACUCCUUUGACUGCUUCUUCAACCACAUUUGAGGCAGCGUUUAUCACAUUUGAGGCAGCACCUAGCAAGCUGAAAAAAUAUUAGCCCUGAUUUUUCC